This 253-nucleotide ribosomal RNA is filed under the name uncultured bacterium. Its description in RNAcentral is "partial 16S ribosomal RNA". It matches the Rfam family "Bacterial small subunit ribosomal RNA", at positions 524 to 776 of the family's 1533-position model. The record is from RNAcentral.
UACAGAGGGGGCAAGCGUUGUUCGGAAUUACUGGGCGUAAAGGGCGCGUAGGCGGCCUUCUAAGUCGAACGUGAAAUCCCCGGGCUCAACCCGGGAACUGCGUCCGAGACUGGAAGGCUCGAAUCCGGGAGAGGGAUGUGGAAUUCCAGGUGUAGCGGUGAAAUGCGUAGAUAUCUGGAGGAACACCAAUGGCGAAGGCAGCACUCUGGGACGUGACUGACGCUGAGACGCGAAAGCGUGGGGAGCAAACAGG